GCCCCAACAAAAACCUAAUUUUUACCCAAUUUACGUAAACUCGUAACUCUUAUAAUUAAAUUAUCAGCUUAACUAAUGAAGAUGUAGGAUGGCAUGCUACCUCCAAUUCGCAAUCCAAAACAAACACUAAAAAAAGAAUAAUGAGAAAAAGAUGAUAAUAUAUAUAUAUAUAUAUAUACAAAGAAAAAUAAUUAUUUUAUAAAAAUUUAUAAGCUGAGAUCUAAACUCAACUAUUUCACAAAUAAAUUUUUUUUUAAAUAAAUUAAAUAAAUUAAAUCCAACGAGUAUAUGCAUAGCGCACACACUCUCACGCCACGCA
This 319-nucleotide long non-coding RNA is filed under the name Elaeis guineensis (African oil palm). Its description in RNAcentral is "long non-coding RNA (EGUI_LNC023810)". Lineage: Eukaryota; Viridiplantae; Streptophyta; Magnoliopsida; Arecales; Arecaceae. The record is from RNAcentral.